UGACCGCCCGGUUUCUGCGCGAAAACGGUGCUAAGGCCAUACGGACAGCCGGGUCAAAUGCCGA
Molecule: small RNA, 64 nt
Filed under: unclassified sequences
Description: Streptococcus sRNA SpF59 (ldcC RNA)
Rfam family: Streptococcus sRNA SpF59 (ldcC RNA)
Source: Rfam by way of RNAcentral